Molecule: ribosomal RNA, 497 nt
Filed under: uncultured bacterium
Lineage: Bacteria
Description: partial 16S ribosomal RNA
Rfam family: Bacterial small subunit ribosomal RNA
Source: RNAcentral
GAUGAACGCUGGCGGCGUGCCUAAUACAUGCAAGUCGAGCGAACAGACGAGGAGCUUGCUCCUCUGACGUUAGCGGCGGACGGGUGAGUAACACGUGGAUAACCGACCUAUAAGACUGGGAUAACUUCGGGAAACCGGAUCUAAUACCGGAUCAUAUAUUGAACCGCAUGGUUCAAUAGUGAAAGACGGUUUUGCUGUCACUUAUAGAUGGAUCCGCGCCGCAUUAGCUAGUUGGUAAGGUAACGGCUUACCAAGGCAACGAUGCGUAGCCGACCUGAGAGGGUGAUCGGCCACACUGGAACUGAGACACGGUCCAGACUCCUACGGGAGGCAGCAGUAGGGAAUCUUCCGCAAUGGGCGAAAGCCUGACGGAGCAACGCCGCGUGAGUGAUGAAGGUCUUCGGAUCGUAAAACUCUGUUAUUAGGGAAGAACAAAUGUGUAAGUAACUAUGCACGUCUUGACGGUACCUAAUCAGAAAGCCACGGCUAACUACGUG